RNAcentral lists this transfer RNA (73 nucleotides) under Dipodomys ordii (Ord's kangaroo rat). It matches the Rfam family "tRNA". Rfam says of the family: Transfer RNA (tRNA) molecules are approximately 80 nucleotides in length. Their secondary structure includes four short double-helical elements and three loops (D, anti-codon, and T loops). Further hydrogen bonds mediate the characteristic L-shaped molecular structure. tRNAs have two regions of fundamental functional importance: the anti-codon, which is responsible for specific mRNA codon recognition, and the 3' end, to which the tRNAs corresponding amino acid is attached (by aminoacyl-tRNA synthetases). tRNAs cope with the degeneracy of the genetic code in two manners: having more than one tRNA (with a specific anti-codon) for a particular amino acid; and 'wobble' base-pairing, i.e. permitting non-standard base-pairing at the 3rd anti-codon position. The record is from Rfam by way of RNAcentral. Lineage: Eukaryota; Metazoa; Chordata; Mammalia; Rodentia; Heteromyidae.
GGAGGUAUGGCUCAGGCAGCAGAGCACCUGCUUCAUAAGCAUGAAGUCCUAUGCUCAAAUCCCAAUACCUUCA